RNAcentral lists this microRNA precursor (70 nucleotides) under Poecilia formosa (Amazon molly). RNAcentral's name for it is "miRNA (ENSPFOG00000021020.1)". Lineage: Eukaryota; Metazoa; Chordata; Actinopteri; Cyprinodontiformes; Poeciliidae. The record is from RNAcentral.
UAUAGUGUGUGUGUGUGUGUGUGUGUGUGUGUGUGUGUGUGUACAUACACACACACACUAUAGACUGACA